AGUGAACGCUGGCGGUAGGCCUAACACAUGCAAGUCGAACGGCAGCACCGUAAGAGCUUGCUCUUACGGGUGGCGAGUGGCGGACGGGUGAGGAAUACAUCGGAAUCUACUUUUUCGUGGGGGAUAACGUAGGGAAACUUACGCUAAUACCGCAUACGACCUACGGGUGAAAGCAGGGGAUCUUCGGACCUUGCGCGAUUGAAUGAGCCGAUGUCGGAUUAGCUAGUUGGCGGGGUAAAGGCCCACCAGGGCGACGAUCCGUAGCUGGUCUGAGAGGAUGUUCAGCCACACUGGAACUGAGACACGGUCCAGACUCCUACGGGAGGCAGCAGUGGGGAAUAUUGGACAAUGGGCGCAAGCCUGAUCCAGCCAUACCGCGUGGGUGAAGAAGGCCUUCGGGUUGUAAAGCCCUUUUGUUGGGAAAGAAAAGCAGCAGGUUAAUACCCCGCUGUUCUGACGGUACCCAAAGAAUAAGCACCGGCUAACUUCGUG
Molecule: ribosomal RNA, 492 nt
Filed under: uncultured bacterium
Lineage: Bacteria
Description: partial 16S ribosomal RNA
Rfam family: Bacterial small subunit ribosomal RNA
Source: RNAcentral